ACUUCCGGCUGGAGCGUUGGGGUUCGGGUUCCGGGUUUCCGGGUGGGUGCGAGCUACCGGCGGGCGAGAGGACCGCACUGCGGCCCGCUGACGGGGCCAUGGAGAAGCUGCGGCGGGUCCUGAGUGGUCAGGACGACGAGGAGCAAGGCCUGACCUCACAGGUUCUGGAUGCUUCAUCCCUUAGUUUCAACACUAGAUUGAAGUGGUUUGUCAUAUGCUUCGUGGCUGGUGUUUCCUUUUCUAUCCUUGGAACUGCAUUGCUGUGGCUUCCUGGUGGCAUAAAGCUUUUUGCAGUGUUUUAUACCCUUGGAAAUCUUGCAGCAUUAGCCAGCACGUGCUUUUUAAUGGGACCCAUGAAGCAGUUGAAGAAAAUGUUUGAAACAACAAGAUUACUUGCAACAAUUGUUAUGCUUCUAUGCUUGGUUUUCACCUUGUGUGCUGUUUUUUGGUGGCAUAAGAAGGGGUUGGCCGUGUUAUUCUGCAUAUUGCAGUUUUUGUCAAUGACCUGGUACAGUCUGUCAUACAUCCCAUAUGCAAGGAAGGAAGUAAGUUUUUAAAUGAGUUGAAAAGAAGUUUGCCACUUGUAGUAUCCACAUGGAAGCAUCUUGAAUAUGUGAAGCAGGGAUGCAGUACUUAAAUGCUGUUCUUCUAUACUAAAUUGAAAAAUCAGAAACGUCACAUGGGAAAGGACACUGGAAUGCAGCGGGACAGUCUGUUGUGCAGGAGGCUGUCCCUGGUGCAAUGAUCACUCCCGCAGCGUUGCAGGCCCAUUUUGUGUUCUGGUAAAACACUCUUAGUUAAACUGUUCCAUGCUCAUUGCUUUAAAUGCACUGUGUACUAUUAACAUGGGCUUCCAAAGAUGAGAUUUUAAUCAUUGUCAAUUGUAAAUACUCUUUAGCCAGUGGUUUUUUUAAUGUUUUCAAAGAAGCUUUUGAAAUGUGAAUAUUUAAGGGAUAAAUCUGUGCUGUGAGAUACAUGCAGCUUGUUUGGCUUUUAAAACAUCUACAUUUUUAAGCUACCCAUUUUUUAACUUUGAAAAUGUGAAGCUUUUUACUUUACGCUUAAAAUUCCUUAUUAUGUACAUGUAAUAAAAAUAAUAUAUAUCUUUACAAUUUGAAAUAAACCGAUUUUGGAAAAAUAA
Cavia porcellus (domestic guinea pig) is the source of this 1141-nucleotide RNA transcript. It is a transcript of the gene named SFT2 domain containing 1, with no coding region annotated. The record is from RefSeq and is a predicted model, not a curated record. Lineage: Eukaryota; Metazoa; Chordata; Mammalia; Rodentia; Caviidae. The transcript is spliced from 9 exons.